This 258-nucleotide ribosomal RNA is filed under the name uncultured bacterium. RNAcentral describes it as "partial 16S ribosomal RNA". It matches the Rfam family "Bacterial small subunit ribosomal RNA", at positions 524 to 776 of the family's 1533-position model. The record is from RNAcentral.
UACGUAGGGUGCAAGCGUUGUCCGGAUUUAUUGGGCGUAAAGAGCUCGUAGGCGGUCUGUCGCGUCGGUUGUGAAAACACAAGGCUCAACCUUGUGCCUGCAAUCGAUACGGGCAGACUAGAGUACUGCAGGGGAGACUGGAAUUCCUGGUGUAGCGGUGGAAUGCGCAGAGUAUCAGGAGGAACACCGGUGGCGAAGGCGGGUCUGCUGGGCAGUAACUGACGCUGGAGGAGCGAAAGGCGUGGGGGAGCAAACAGG